Molecule: ribosomal RNA, 492 nt
Filed under: uncultured bacterium
Lineage: Bacteria
Description: partial 16S ribosomal RNA
Rfam family: Bacterial small subunit ribosomal RNA
Source: RNAcentral
AGUGAACGCUGGCGGUAGGCCUAACACAUGCAAGUCGAACGGCAGCACAGUAAGAGCUUGCUCUUACGGGUGGCGAGUGGCGGACGGGUGAGGAAUACAUCGGAAUCUACUUUUUCGUGGGGGAUAACGUAGGGAAACUUACGCUAAUACCGCAUACGACCUACGGGUGAAAGCAGGGGAUCUUCGGACCUUGCGCGAUUGAAUGAGCCGAUGUCGGAUUAGCUAGUUGGCGGGGUAAAGGCCCACCAAGGCGACGAUCCGUAGCUGGUCGGAGAGGAUGAUCCGCCACACUGGAACUGAGACACGGUCCAGACUCCUACGGGAGGCAGCAGUGGGGAAUAUUGGACAAUGGGCGCAAGCCUGAUCCAGCCAUACCGCGUGGGUGAAGAAGGCCUUCGGGUUGUAAAGCCCUUUUGUUGGGAAAGAAAAGCAGCAGGUUAAUACCCCGCUGUUCUGACGGUACCCAAAGAAUAAGCACCGGCUAACUUCGUG